Molecule: unclassified non-coding RNA, 1769 nt
Filed under: Hevea brasiliensis (rubber tree)
Lineage: Eukaryota; Viridiplantae; Streptophyta; Magnoliopsida; Malpighiales; Euphorbiaceae
Source: RNAcentral
UUCAUCAAGACCUAUAUAGUGGUCUACCAGCAAGGUAAAACUAGCUUUAAUAUGUAGAGAAGUUCUACAACCACUUAUUUGUUGUGCCCUGUAUAGGGAAAGUACUUUUAUUGUCUAGGCUAAUUAAGUGAAUUGAUAUUGAAGCUCUUUUAUCUUGUUGGUCUGUCAACGAGAUCAUUGAACCUAGAUAUUUAGAGAAGUUCUGCAACUGCUGCUUGGCUUUGUGGCAUUUGGGGAAAUAGCUUUUUGGUACACAAAUAAGGAAGCGUUUACUAAAUUAAGUUAUUUUGUGAUAUGCAUUACCAGAAAGGCAAAUAACUAAAAUGUAGUCUGGUGGGCUUCUUGUACUGAUUCCCCCAGUAUUGUUUAAACAUCAAAAUCAUAUACUCCAUCUUUUGAAUCAAAUAUAUGCAGUGUUGCCUGGAGCAACUGCUCUCUUGUAAACGAGUUCACAUACGUAGCCAGGCUAAAAGCCAUGUUAUAUUCUCUAAUAAUGGAAUGAAGUUCAUGAAAAGACAGAAGAUUUGGAGGAUGAUGAUGAUGAUCAUACCAGAUAAAUUCUUAGGACUAUCAGUGAAACAAGGAGCAGAGUUCCAGUUCCAGCAGCCAGAACAAAUCGUAAGGGCUCCUGCAAAUUUGGAGCACAUAAUGAGGCUUUCAUAUAGAUAGCAGUUAAAAUCUCUUCAUUAUUGAAAUAUAUCUGGCAUCAUAUUGAUGCUUCACAUUGUCAAAUGUUGGUUUCUCUGCUAUGUGAUUCUUAGUAACUGAUUUUAAGAAGUUUGGAAUGUAGUUUCAGAGUCGAAGGCUUGGAGAUAUAUAACUGCCUCGUUCCAUUUGUUAUAAAACUUGUAAUAAUGAAGACAUUCUUUUAAGAUCUAUUGUGGGAUAAGCCAGUUUUGUUCUAAUCUAGAUGGUGUUUUUGACAUUUAUUUUAAAUGAGGUCUUUAUUUUUAGCGUACCCUUUCAGGAUUGAAACUUGCAGCUGCAAUUGGGACUCCAAGAGUUGCGAAGGUUACUAACCAGAGACCUCCAAGACGAAGAAAAAGUGAUUGUGGACCCAGUUCACCCCAAGAAUACAAGACUCCAUCUUUCAGAGAUGCGUACUCAUUCACCUAUUACAGACAAGAAAUGAACUAAUGUAAGUACGAAUACAGUUGUCUUUAAAGCUAGAUGUUGAGAUACACCUGAAUCCACUAGAAUCUGUUCAGGUUAUGAUGCCAUUAAUCCACCAUCCUAUUUCAUUUUGCCAUAUGUUUCCUUCAUCAUAUGCAGAUUUUAGUGGAACUUGCAUGACUUUAGCAAAUCAUGUGUUUUUACUUCUCUGUUCAAUACCUGCAUAUGUAUAUGUUAAUAGAGCAGACAUGGAAUAGACAUACCGGUCUUUGUUCGAAAGGGACCUCAAUUUCCAAGCCAGGAUCCCAUCUCCGGCCUGGAAAGCUGCUUGUGCCUCCAUCUGUCUCAUCCUUCAAGGCCUUGACAGAAACUGAAGAAAAUGGUUUUUGAGCAGAUUGAGCUAGAUGGUACUUAAUGAUCCAUGAUCUGUGGCAGCUUCCAAGUUUGAUUUCCCUUGGACAAGGGAUUAAAGAGCAGUAGACAUUUAGCCUGAGCAUUUAAUUUCCGGUCGAAUUGGAACUGGCUGCUGUAGCACCCAAGUUCUGAACAAAUUUCCCUGUCGAGUUUUUGCCUCUUUGGCAGAGACUUAGAGUUCACUAGUUGAUCUGAUGGCUGCGAACUUGUUUGUGACCAUGCAUUAUUUACGUGGAUGAAAA